UUUGUUUUUUAAUUAAAAACUAGAAUGAAAGAUUUUACAUUUUAAUUUCUUUAUUAAAUAUAAUAUACUAACUUAUAUUAAAUAUAAAAAUAUAUUUAUAAAAUAAAAAGACGACAAGACCCUAUUAAAUUUUACUUAUUGUUUAGCUGGGGCAGCUUUUUAAAUAAAACUUUAAAAUUUAUAAUAUAAUAAUAUAUCUAUACUAAAAUUAAAAAAUCUAUUAUAAAUAAAUUAAUCUAAUUACUAUAGGGAUAACAGCGUUAUAUUUUUUUCAAGUUCAUAUUAAAAAAAUCAUUGCGACCUCGAUGUUGAAUUAUAUUUCUUUAUUAAUGCA
Molecule: ribosomal RNA, 334 nt
Filed under: Anelosimus lamarcki
Lineage: Eukaryota; Metazoa; Arthropoda; Arachnida; Araneae; Theridiidae
Description: partial 16S ribosomal RNA
Source: RNAcentral